RNAcentral lists this transfer RNA (71 nucleotides) under Loxodonta africana (African savanna elephant). It matches the Rfam family "tRNA". From Rfam's summary of the family: Transfer RNA (tRNA) molecules are approximately 80 nucleotides in length. The record is from Rfam by way of RNAcentral. Lineage: Eukaryota; Metazoa; Chordata; Mammalia; Proboscidea; Elephantidae.
GCAGUGGUGGUUCAGUGGCAGAACUGUCAGCUUCUGUGCAGGAAACCCAGGUUCGAUUCCCAGCCAAUGCA